AAUUCCUACGGGACGCAGCAGUGGGGAAUAUUGCACAAUGGGCGAAAGCCUGAUGCAGCAACGCCGCGUGAAGGAAGAAGGGUUUCGGCUCGUAAACUUCUAUCAACAGGGACGAAAGAAAUGACGGUACCUGAAUAAGAAGCCCCGGCUAACUACGUGCCAGCAGCCGCGGUAAUACGUAGGGGGCAAGCGUUAUCCGGAAUUACUGGGUGUAAAGGGUGAGUAGGCGGCAUGGUAAGCCAGAUGUGAAAGCCUUGGGCUUAACCCAAGGAUUGCAUUUGGAACUAUCAAGCUAGAUAACAGGG
This 305-nucleotide ribosomal RNA is filed under the name uncultured bacterium. RNAcentral's name for it is "bacterial SSU rRNA". It matches the Rfam family "Bacterial small subunit ribosomal RNA", at positions 334 to 653 of the family's 1533-position model. The record is from RNAcentral.